Molecule: ribosomal RNA, 498 nt
Filed under: uncultured bacterium
Lineage: Bacteria
Description: bacterial SSU rRNA
Rfam family: Bacterial small subunit ribosomal RNA
Source: RNAcentral
AAAGGAAUUGACGGGGACCCGCACAAGCAGUGGAGCAUGUGGUUUAAUUCGAAGCAACGCGAAGAACCUUACCAGGUCUUGACAUCCCCCUGACCGGAUCAGAGAUGGUCCUUUCCCUUCGGGGACAGGGGAGACAGGUGGUGCAUGGUUGUCGUCAGCUCGUGUCGUGAGAUGUUGGGUUAAGUCCCGCAACGAGCGCAACCCUUGUUCCUAGUUGCCAGCACGUUGGGGUGGGCACUCUAGGGAGACUGCCGGUGACAAACCGGAGGAAGGUGGGGAUGACGUCAAAUCAUCAUGCCCCUUAUGACCUGGGCUACACACGUGCUACAAUGGCCGCGACAAAGGGCAGCGAAGGGGCGACCCGGAGCGAAUCCCGACAAAGGCGGUCUCAGUUCGGAUUGCAGGCUGCAACUCGCCUGCAUGAAGUCGGAAUUGCUAGUAAUCGCGGAUCAGCAUGCCGCGGUGAAUACGUUCCCGGGUCUUGUACACACCGCCCGU